Molecule: RNA transcript, 586 nt
Organism: Plasmodium vivax (malaria parasite P. vivax)
Lineage: Eukaryota; Apicomplexa; Aconoidasida; Haemosporida; Plasmodiidae
Gene name: internal transcribed spacer 1
Exons: 1
Source: RefSeq, a predicted model, not a curated record
UCGAAGCAGUAGAGUAGGAAAAUUUCGUCAGGGGGGCGCGAUGGGGUAAAGUAACACUUUCUCCACCGCGAGUCCUUUCUGCACCGUUAAAAUGUGAAAAAUAAACAGCGAAAUAGAGAUGCGGGUUUGCUGCUUUAGUGAGUGGUUGGAAAUAUGCACGUGGAGGGUGAUAGCGGGAUAUGCUUGUAAUGGUAGGAAGUGCAUGCAUAAGAAGUAUAGUACUUAUGUGUGCCUUUUUAUGCAUUAUGAUGCUAUUCCGUUUAGCAACCUCCACGUGCACAUUUUCAUCCCCCCCUUUAGCGGCGAACUCCACCUCGACAACAAUGUUUAACACAUCAAAUUUUUUCAUUUUGUGUAUAUUUCAUGAAGUGCGUUCCAUGUGCAAAUUCUGAAAGGGAAAUGCUUACCGUGUUAAACCAUAAAUAAUAAUGUAAGGAUCUAUAUAAAGUUUUAUGCAUAUAUAUGUAGGUGUUGACUUGGUUGUGCUUUUACGAAGUUAUUUGGUAGUUAAUUUUUCUCGUUAGCGAAAUCGUCACGUUAUUACUAUGCAUGCUAUGAAAUUUUAUGUACAUUUGAACAUUUUAUU